This 83-nucleotide transfer RNA is filed under the name Felis catus (domestic cat). It matches the Rfam family "tRNA". Rfam says of the family: Transfer RNA (tRNA) molecules are approximately 80 nucleotides in length. Their secondary structure includes four short double-helical elements and three loops (D, anti-codon, and T loops). The record is from Rfam by way of RNAcentral. Lineage: Eukaryota; Metazoa; Chordata; Mammalia; Carnivora; Felidae.
GCCUGGGUGGCUCAGUUGGUUGAGCACCUGAUUUCAGCUCAGGUCGAUCUCACCAUUCGUGAGUUUGAGCCCCGCAUCAGGCU